AUUGAACGCUGGCGGCAGGCCUAACACAUGCAAGUCGAGCGGAAACGACAACAUUGACCCUUCGGGUGAUUUGUUGGGCGUCGAGCGGCGGACGGGUGGGUAAUGCCUGGGAAUAUGCCUUGAUGUGGGGGAUAACUAUUGGAAACGAUAGCUAAUACCGCAUAAUGCCUUCGGGCCAAAGAGGGGGACCUUCGGGCCUCUCGCGUCAAGAUUAGCCCAGGUGGGAUUAGCUAGUUGGUGAGGUAAAGGCUCACCAAGGCGACGAUCCCUAGCUGGUCUGAGAGGAUGAUCAGCCACACUGGAACUGAGACACGGUCCAGACUCCUACGGGAGGCAGCAGUGGGGAAUAUUGCACAAUGGGCGCAAGCCUGAUGCAGCCAUGCCGCGUGUAUGAAGAAGGCCCUUCGGGUUG
This 412-nucleotide ribosomal RNA is filed under the name uncultured bacterium. Its description in RNAcentral is "bacterial SSU rRNA". It matches the Rfam family "Bacterial small subunit ribosomal RNA", at positions 30 to 425 of the family's 1533-position model. The record is from RNAcentral.